AGCCUGGAGUCAAGAAAAUCUGAGUUCAAAUCCAACCUCA
This 40-nucleotide microRNA is filed under the name Vombatus ursinus (common wombat). RNAcentral's name for it is "miRNA (ENSVURG00010016237.1)". Lineage: Eukaryota; Metazoa; Chordata; Mammalia; Diprotodontia; Vombatidae. The record is from RNAcentral.